AUGGCUUGCCGGGGUCACAUAGCUAGGUUGGAGCUCAGGAAGGUGUAUUUCCCCUGGUCUUACCAGAAGAGUUCUACCAUCUCAAACAUCACUAGAUCCUCUGAGACCCAUCGUUUACCCUCCUUUCUGAUCAGGGCCUAUUGGUCACCAUGUGUGCCCCGGAUACCUCACCUGGGAAUGGCACCUAAUCCUCCUUGUUUGUUCCACUCCCCCCUUCCUUUCUGUCUGUUCCUUCAAGCUAUAAAAGCCCUGGACCCCUUCUCCUCAGGGAGGCCGACCUCCCUUGCACCUGCCGCCCAGCCAUUCGCUCAAUAAAUUCUUCUCUUUUUAGAGAUUCAUCAGAGCCUGGCAAUCUUUUAAGUGGGCAAAUAGAUGCUAUCUCGCUCUCUCCCAACAAGGCCGUCCACGCCCUUGCCUCCAGAAGUGCCAGAGACCCUGACCCGAGUGCCCGGCCUAAAGAAAAGCAGCAAGCUGCAAGAUGGGCGAACCGACACACCAAAUGAGCUAUUUUGGUGACAGGCCACUUAAGAGCCAAAUGCAGAAGAGAAUAACUCCCCAAUGUCUCUAGCCAAAGUCUGAGAGAAAAAACAUACUACAUUUAUAGAAGAAAUGAGGAAGCCUGAAGAAAAAUUUGGGAGGUACAAAGCCUUGCCCCAGCCCCCAACUCCUUGAAGAUUUCAGUGGACCAAACAGAAGCUAAUGACUCCGUGGGGCAGCAACAAAUAGGAAAACAAAGCCAACAAGCUUAACAGGAAGAAGAAAAUGUCAGCCUUUUUUCAUAGGAAAAACAACUGGCUUAGGAACAAAGCUCAAGGAAAAACAUUCGAAUCUCUGGGCUAUAAAGGGGCCUAGACGCCGUAUUCCAGGAAAUCUCCAAACGGCCCAGAUACUUUAGAAGCAUAGGAAAAAGUGAAACUAGACCCCGGUGUUCCCCUCCAGUGAGAAAUCCUAAAGUGGAAACUCCUAGAAGUGGCAUCAUCCCAAUCCAGUGCUGCCCUAGUAAACAGUCAGCAAGAAAAAAUCCAGGCUGUAGGAGCUACCGCUUUAAAGUGGUAGAAUAUGGAAUGGGGUGAAGUAAAACGAUGGAAUUUGAUAUCACCACAGGGAGAAAAAGCGAUUUUGGGUGAAAUAAAAGAUGUUUAAGCAUUCCUGAGAACA
Molecule: long non-coding RNA, 1158 nt
Filed under: Monodelphis domestica (gray short-tailed opossum)
Lineage: Eukaryota; Metazoa; Chordata; Mammalia; Didelphimorphia; Didelphidae
Description: lncRNA (ENSMODG00000051051.1)
Source: RNAcentral